This 2595-nucleotide long non-coding RNA is filed under the name Podarcis lilfordi (Lilford's wall lizard). The record is from RNAcentral. Lineage: Eukaryota; Metazoa; Chordata; Lepidosauria; Squamata; Lacertidae.
AGAGAGUGUGAUUGGCUGGGGCUGGGUGGCAGGCAGAAGAAGCGAGUAUUUAGCUGGAUGUUAGUCGCUGGGUGUCAGUUGGUGAUUCCUAGUGGACAGGCAGAAGAUGACGACAAUGUCAGCAAAGGAAGAGGAUUGAGAAAGAAAACCUGAGAGGUAGGCAAAGUGGCUUGGUGGAUGGAGUAGCUGAAACAUUUGGCUUAUGCGGAAGAUACAAGGGGAGAAGCUGUCCGUGGUGCUGAAUGAUAAGGCAGUUUAGAACAACAGAUUCUGGUGUCUGGUAGGAGAGCGUGAAGAAGACAGCAGAUACAGACCCGUGCUUUAACAGGUCAGGAGAGGCCUCAACAAAAGUCCUCGGUAUUACAGUGCUAGGGAAGCUUAACCCCUGAUUCAUUGUAAGAAGGCAGGCCGUUGUAGGCUAACUGAGGGCAGAGGUUGGAGGGGCAGCUCCCUAUUUCCUCCAGUGGAUCAACUUCCAUUCAUCCAUGCUUGUGCUUUCAUUGAUUCUUAGAACAAAAACCAAAGCAGCUUUUUGCUACCCAUGCUCAAAUGAGCAAGUAGUUCUAUAAGCUGGUGAGGACAAAGGUUUGUGAUUAGAAGUGGAUUGUUUUGCUGCCAGGCUUUUAAUACACAGUAGUUUUGUCUGCAGCCUCUGAGUGACAGCCUGGCUCGCUUCCUACAUUGUGUAAUUUGAGAUGACCUUAGUUUCACACACCAUAGAUGAAUAGGUCUGUUAGCUCAUGGGGCUUUUCUGUAAUUGCAUUCAGGUUAAUAUGUGUGGCCUUCGUCAAGUUACAUAUGUCAGGGCUACAGUCUCUCUGCAUUGUCUUGCUGUUUUGAAAUGUAGAUGGAUCCUUUCAUUGCCACAUUCCUAGAAAACUCUUAGCACCAUUUAUAAUUCUAAAUGAAUUUCAUGGAAGGAUUUCUCUCUGCAUUUUCUCAACAGGGCUUGGUAUGAGUAAAUUUAUUUCUGCAUUCCUUUAACUGUGUGGCCUAUUUUGGCUCCUUGGGCUCCAGACUUGUGCUAUAAAUUUAAUCCAUUUAUCAGCCAAGGAUUAAGCAUCCUAGCCUCAAGUGCAAAGCUAAGCAGGGUCCAGUAUGGUUAGGGUUAUGUUAAGUGCACAUUAAUUCCCACUGAGUUAUACUGUGUUAUAUUCAGGUUUUUUUUCCCUUAAAAAAUGUAUAGUGGUACUCUCAUUUUGACUCAAGAAAAUCACUAUUUUAUCGUUCGAAUCGGGGAAAAUACAGUAAAUGGACAAAAGUACAAAAAUUCACAAAUUUUUUUGGGUAUGCGUACCCCUGCAUCCCCCCAGAAAAAGGCACUGGCUAUACUAGUAGUUUCCUGGCCUAGGUGGAUAAUGUUUUUGGCGUGAGUGAGAUUUGGGUAAUGUGAGAGGAAAGGUGUUGAUGGCUUUGAACAGUUUGCCAAUCUUAUUUCCUAGUUUGUGAUCUUGAAUUCUUGGUUAGUCAGAUUUACUGGCCACCCCACCCUAAUUGCCUAGAACUAUACUUGCAACAAGUAACAAGGUAAUUAUUUUACCCUAACCCUUCUGGUUCAGAGAGACCAAAAUCCAAAUGUCUUGUACCACUUCCAAGCGACAUCUAGGAUGUAGUUUUGGAAGGUCUCUGAGGAGAACAUUCCAAAGCUGAGAGGCUGCCACGGAAAAGGCACCUGUCUCGGUAUACCUUUGUGGAUCUGAUUUGGCAAUAUACAUUGCAUGCUUAACAGUGUCACCCACACAUGUCUGGUCAGAAGUAAGCCUAUUGUUUUCCAUGCAGCUUCCUUUCAGCCCCAGGGAGCACUCCAAAUUAAUCCCAAGGGCCUUGAUGGAACUAGGGGAGGAAGAUAACUGUUCAGAUCUAGUCUAUUAGGCUUAUAUACACACAGAAUAUCAUGUUUUAUAUUUCUAUGACUGUCUCUCUGUCUGUAUUCUGACAAUAUUGGAGGAGGUAAGAUAAAAUUUUAUACUACUUUUAUACCCUUUUAUACUACUCAUUCUAAGGAUAAAGGCCGUAUUUUGAACAUUGUCCUUAAUAAACAGGUAGCAAAGAGCAGUUUCUUUACAAGCAACACAACCUUAAACACAAAUAGUUAUUUUCCAGAAUUGAGCUGACACUGAGAUUUGCUAACAAAUAAUUUCCCGGUGAAAAUUCUUAUCUUGCAUGAAAAGGAGGCUUAUGACCAGGUAAGCAUUUCUCUUCAUACAAAAUUGAAACUGACUUUCCACGGAUAACACUGAAGUUCAAAAGACAACGGAAGUCUCUCCUGCUCUCUGAAAGUUCAACCAAUAUUUUCCUUUCUUUCUAGAGCGCUGGGUGAGAAGUUUAUGGGAGGCCAGAACUGCUGCCACUGUGCUUUUGUUACCAUGUGAUUCCGCUGCAGCCUUUCAUUUCAUGAUUUCUUUGAAACCAAAAUAGGGUUUUCUGUGUGCGGUUAAGUACCGACAGCUUUUAUAGAAUUAACUCAAUCAAAAAUGGCUCCUUUGCUUGUCUUUAUCUUUGUGCUUUUCACUUUGUAGCCCAAGUGAUAUUCUUUCAGCCACCUGUAAGCCAUUAGCACUUCUGUUUCACCACACGUUUCCUUCAGGACCACAU